This is a long non-coding RNA of Cercocebus atys (sooty mangabey), 1035 nucleotides long. RefSeq lists it as uncharacterized. The transcript has 6 exons. The record is from RefSeq and is a predicted model, not a curated record. NCBI's taxonomy places the organism in Eukaryota, Metazoa, Chordata, Mammalia, Primates, Cercopithecidae.
UAGAAUGUCCUAAGAUAUGCAGUUGGCAAGCUGGAGACCGAAGAAGAGCCAAUAUUUCAGUUUGAGUCUGAAGGCAGGAAAAGACUGAUGUCCCAUCUCAAAGCAGUCAGGCAGAGGGAGUUUCCUCUUGUUCUUACUCAAGCAAGGAUGGCGCAGUGCUCCUGCCAUUCCGAGGCUCAGCGACCCUGAGGGAGGCAGGGAAUUUUGAUCAGCGUCUGAAGAAUCACCUCAUCUCUUCCUGCAGAAGCACAGAGCACAAGACUUCACAUUAUGUCAACAUCUCUUGCAAAAGCCCAGCUCAUAGAGAGCAGGAGCCUUCUCAGACUGUGUCAAAUUAUCUCGGGGAUGGAGAGACUUACAUGGCACUAAAAGAAAUCAAAUGGCAGAGCUCAGCUUUCUGAUGAGUCUUCUGAGGUUCAGAAGAGUGAGAUGACACCUUCAAGGUCACGUGGCUUAUUUGUGUUGGAGUCAGAGGUUUCCAGAUUUCUUGACUUUUAGUCCAAGGAGCAGUCCCUGUGCAUGUGUCAGAGAUGAACAAGCCAGAUGGCCUGAGUGUCCAUGACUUCAGGUGCAUCUUGAAAGCUACAUAUAGAAGAUGGAAAAGCCUCUGUCAUCUCCAUAAAUGUAAUCUCCAAAUAACUACUUAGACAAAGGACAGCUUACUACCUCCUUCAUUGCCCAGUACUAUUAGCUAAAAACAUCAAACAGGAAAUUCAAAUUCUACAUGGUAGGAUCAAAAGUGGAUCUUGUUUUUCUUAGCAACAUGGUUGAACUUCAUAGUGAAGUUUGAACCUGACAGCAUUCAUGUUCAAAUGUCCAAGCACUGCAUUUCUGAUACUGUGGAAGCACAGGCACGCUGUGUGAUAUUGUGCAGCAUUUGAUCCUGCCUGACUUCUGUGUCUCAGGCUAUCACCAAAGAUAUUUAUAGUUGCCUUAUGCCAAUGUACUUGUUAAAGCUAGGUAAUACUAAUGUAAGAUGGUCACAUUUAUCUUGAAUGCUGCGGCAGGGUACCAUGUGUGCUCCCUGCACUACUG